GAAAUGCGAUAAGUAAUGUGAAUUGCAGAAUUCAGUGAAUCAUCGAAUCUUUGGACGCACCUUGCGCUCCUUGGUAUUCCUUGGAGCAUGCCUGUUUGAGUAUCAUGAAAUCUUCAAAGUAAAUCUUUUGUUAACUCAAUUGGUUUCUACUUUGGUAUUGGAGGUCUUUGCAGCUUCACACCUGCUCCUCUUUGUUCAUUAGCUGGAUCUCAGUGUUAUGCUUGGUUCCACUCGGCGUGAUAAGUUAUCUAUCGCUGAGGACACUGUAAAAGGUGGCCAAGGUAAAUGCAGAUGAACCGCUUCUAAUAGUCCAUUGACUUGGACAAUACUUUUAUGAUCUGAUCUCAAAUCAGGUAGGACUACCCGCUGAACUUAAGC
Molecule: unclassified non-coding RNA, 378 nt
Filed under: plant metagenome
Description: partial contains 5.8S ribosomal RNA, internal transcribed spacer 2, and large subunit ribosomal RNA
Rfam family: 5.8S ribosomal RNA (bases 1-105)
Source: RNAcentral